This 253-nucleotide ribosomal RNA is filed under the name uncultured bacterium. RNAcentral's name for it is "partial 16S ribosomal RNA". It matches the Rfam family "Bacterial small subunit ribosomal RNA", at positions 524 to 776 of the family's 1533-position model. The record is from RNAcentral.
UACAGAGGGUGCAAGCGUUAAUCGGAAUUAUUGGGCGUAAAGAGCUCGUAGGCGGUUUGUCGCGUCUGCUGUGAAAACUCGGGGCUUAACUCCGGGCCUGCAGUGGGUACGGGCAGACUAGAGUGCGGUAGGGGAGACUGGAAUUCCUGGUGUAGCGGUGAAAUGCGCAGAUAUCAGGAGGAACACCGGUGGCGAAGGCGGGUCUCUGGGCCGUAACUGACGCUGAGGAGCGAAAGCGUGGGGAGCGAACAGG